GGGCGSCCGAUGGCGGAUUAGCUAGUUGGUGGGGUAAAGSCCUACCAAGGCGACGAUCCGUAGCUGGUCUGAGAGGACGACCAGCCACACUGGGACUGAGACACGGCCCAGACUCCUACGGGAGGCAGCAGUGGGGAAUUUUGGACAAUGGGGGCAACCCUGAUCCAGCAAUGCCGCGUGUGUGAAGAAGGCCUUCGGGUUGUAAAGCACUUUUGUCCGGAAAGAAAUCCCCUGCCCUAAUACGGCGGGGGGAUGACGGUACCGGAAGAAUAAGCACCGGCUAACUACGUGCCAGCAGCCGCGGUAAUACGUAGGGUGCAAGCGUUAAUCGGAAUUACUGGGCGUAAAGCGUGCGCAGGCGGUUCGCUAAGACAGAUGUGAAAUCCCCGGGCUUAACCUGGGAACUGCAUUUGUGACUGGCGGGCUAGAGUAUGGCAGAGGGGGGUAGAAUUCCACGUGUAGCAGUGAAAUGCGUAGAGAUGUGGAGGAAUACCGAUGGCGAAGGCAGCCCCCUGGGCCAAUACUGACGCUCAUGCACGAAASCGUGGGGAGCAMACAGGAUYMGAUMCCCUGGUAGCCCCCGCCCYMAACGAUGUCMACUAGUUGUUGGGGAUUNAUUWMMWUAGUAAAGUAU
Molecule: ribosomal RNA, 634 nt
Filed under: Paraburkholderia terricola
Lineage: Bacteria; Pseudomonadati; Pseudomonadota; Betaproteobacteria; Burkholderiales; Burkholderiaceae
Description: partial 16S ribosomal RNA
Rfam family: Bacterial small subunit ribosomal RNA
Source: RNAcentral